Molecule: long non-coding RNA, 7805 nt
Organism: Equus caballus (horse)
Lineage: Eukaryota; Metazoa; Chordata; Mammalia; Perissodactyla; Equidae
Source: Ensembl
GGUGCACAGGCCGGUCUGUGCGGAGCGCGGAGUAGGUCUGGGAGUCUAACCGAUUCCUAAAUAGGCUUUGAACCGCUCCUUCUGGUUUUAGCGUGUCCACCUCUUUGCCACAGGUAUCUGGUGCUGCCAAUUCCAGAGCCUUUAGGGAUUCUGCUCAAUUUCUCAAAUUUCCCCAGUGCUGGCUUAGGAUUCAAUGUUCCCAUGUCUGCUGCAUCAUUGGUCACAUUUCUUAUUUUCCAGCUGUUAAAAUUUUGUUGCUAUGGGGAGUUAAAAAAAAAACUUUUUGUUGCUAUUUUUCCUUCCCUUUAAAAAAAUUCACUUACAGGGCCAGCCCCGUGGCUAAGUUCACACGCUCCGCUUUGGAAGCCCAGGGUUUUGCCAGUUCAGAUCCUGGGUGGAGACCUAGCACCACUCAUCAGGCCAUGCUGAGGCGGCGUCCCACACAGCACGAGCAGAGGCACUCACAACUGCAAUAUACACCUAUUUACUGGGGGGCUUUGGGAAAAAGAAGGAAAAAUUUUAAAAAAAUAAUAAUGAUUUUAAAAGUUAACUUCCUUGUUAAAAAAAUUCAUUUACCAUCAUUUUAGUGAGAUUUCAGGAAAAGAGAAAAGAAGAGAUGUGUGCAUGCUGAAUCCUCUCUGUUUACCUGGAAGAUUUACUUCUCACAUUUACCUUUUUCUAUUAUUUCAUUUUUUUAAUCCAUGUUUGCUCACUAGUUAUUAUUCAUUGUUUUCCUUUCCAAGUUACGACAAUUUAGUUGCUUUUUUCAAAGCAGCUAUAAGAGGAUAGCGCAUAGGAACAAUGAAAUAAUCAUCAGCCUUUUUAAGGCUUUGCGAGCUUCCAGUGCUGAUCUGUGUAGUAGGGGCAUGUACAUGCAUGUGUAUUUGCCAAGAGACAGCCGCAGCCUACCUGGGGGAGAUCAUAUACCCACAAAUGAUGACACAAGACCAGGAGAUAGCAAUACCCCUCCAAGAAGGAGAUAAAGUUGGUCAAAAUGAGUCAUGGUCAGGAGUGUGAAAUUUCCCCAGCCGUUACUUCUGCCUGGAGAAGAAUUUCCAAUUUGCUUAAACACUUGUCUAUCCCGCUCAUGGAGAAUUCUCUGAAGGAGCCGUCUCCAAAUUGUUUGAUUGACAUUCUUAUAAGAAAAGCAUUUUUAACACACUCUCAAAUAGGCAAAUUUAUUUACUUGCAAAUUAUACAUGUCUUACUCUAUCAAUAUUAUCCAUGGUAUUAAUACACAUACAAGUAGAGAUUUUUAAAGGAUGCAAUAGAAAAUAAAUAGAAUUAGAAGUUCUAAUAUUUUCCUUCAGCACCCCAGCAAAUCACCUUGCACAUCACAGAAUUCUCAAGCAGGCUGAGCAUCAGAGCACCUGCGAAGGUUUUUCAAAGUCCUGCCCCGGGCCUACCUGGCAUAUGAAUCAGAACUUCUGAGGGUGGGACCCUGGCAAGGGCGUUUUGAAAAAGUUUCCCCACUGAGUCCCAUGUGCACCUCUGGUUAAGAAAUACAACUCCAAAGAUUUCAAAAUUAGAGCCCUUGAAAAAGUAUAAAUAGUAGUCAAAUGGCUACCCAAGUGCAAAAAGCAGGCUAAUGAUACUGGGAGAUUCUGAGCUUGAUUAAAUAUCUGGAAUGUCACAUACCUCAAAAAAUUCUGUCUCCUUCCCACAACUCCAUAUUUUUCUUCCUCUAUAUCUGUCCUUUCUCUUUACUUCUUAGGAUAAAUUUAACUUUUCUGUUAUAACAAAUAGGUAUUCAAUGUAGAAAAUAUAGAUAAGCAAAAAGAAGAAAAUAAAAGCUCAUCUAUAAUUCUACCAUUCCAAGAAAACACUUAAAGUUUUUAUUUAUAGCCUUCCAGAUAUUUAUGGCAACACAUGCUUAAAAUGGGAUCAUAGGGGCCAGCCCGGUGGCGCAGGGGUUAAGUGCACACAUUCCGCUUCAGCGGCCGAGGGUUGGCUAGUUCGGAUCCCGCGUGCGGACAAGGCACCACUUGGCAAGCCAUGCUGUGGCAGGCAUCCCACAUAGAAAGUAGAGGAAGAUAGGCACGGAUGUGAGCUCAGGGCCAGUCUUCCUCAGCAAAAAGAGGAGGAUUGGCAGCAGAUGUUAGCUCAGGACUAAUCUUCCUCAAAAAGUAAGGGGGGGAGGAUCAUACUGUACAUGCUCUUUUAAACAUUUUCACUCGGUAAUUAUUUUUUUUCCAGGACAACAAGAAUGAAAGCUCCAAUAGAGCAGUGGACAGUGGUGGGACAGCUGAUCCGCGUGCACAGAGCAGGUAGUCAGAAGCCCCCUGAGUGCAGCUGAACAGCUGGGUCCUCCAACUAAUAUUCUCUCCCUUCCCCUUCUGAUCCUUCCUUAUUUUGCGUCUCUUGUUCUGAUUGCUUUCUACAUGCCCUUUCUCUUUUCUUUUACUUUCUCCCCUCAUCUCUCUUCACUAAAGCAACCGAGCAAGGCUUUCAGGACAAGGGUUAAUAUUUGACAGAAUGAAACUUCCCGAUAAUUUGACAAGGGAUGCCUAACCAGGAAGCUGAAGAGACAGCUGCACCCUUCUCUGCAAAGAGGAUCUUCUGAGCAAGCCCAGGCAAGAGCCCUCUGUUCUUGAUGACUAUCUGUUAUUUCCACUUGGGAGCCCAAAUUAAAGUUGCUUAUUUGCCUUAGAAGCAAAGUUCGGCCAGAGGCAGCCUGGGGUGCCCAGGUUGUCCGAGAAGAGCCAUUUGAGGGAAAUUGCAUUUCUGGAAUUGAAACCAAGGGAGGUGGAACUGCAGUCGACACAAGGCAAGGACUGAGAAGGAGGCCGGGAUGACAAUCCAGAACAAACCAGCCACAGCACUCCCACUUGGAGAAUAAUCAGUUUCCCCAGUGGUGUUAUAAAACCGGUUGCAAAAAACCAGUUCCUCUUGCUUUAGGUGGCAAGGAUCUUCCGAGUGCUGGUUACCCUCUCACAGCUUUUCAACCUGCUGCCAAAGAAAUUUCCAUCUGUAGUUAUUAAUCCACUGGUAUUGAGGAAAGUUCCUGAACUUUGAAAGCUUGUUUGGGCUGGUAUGAAAGAAAAUAAGCACUUUCCACCACAGCAGAGCCAAACUGUGCUUUCUAGAGGCUGUGGAAAAUUGUUUUCAUUAAACGCAAAUCAUUGCCCCCCAAACCAAUGUUCUUGGGGAUGAAAUUGUCUUUGGCUCCAUUAACUCUGAGAGGCUACAUUAGCCAGUUCUCUAACGGCACUCUGCUAUGGAAGGUUCUAGAAAAUGAAUAGAAAGUGAAUCACUUUCCACUCGCACCCCCAGUACCAACCCCUCACCCCAGCAGCAGCUUACCCCUUAUCAGUUGGAAAGGGGGUGGGGUGGGGGAUGUAGCAUGACUGUGCUUAUACUAUGAAGAUGCUGGGGUGGGGUUGGGGGGACAGCAAUUAAAUGCUGCAACUGGGGUGUUAGUCACAGUGGGUGGGACUCUCCCUGUCAUCCUGCAGAAGCAGAGCCAGAGAAGCUGAUGAUAGCUGAAGAGAGGGAGGGCCCCCCGCGCAACCUCUCUCUUUUCCCAGCAACAGCUGCUUCAUAAGCAGCACUUAGCAUAUGUACAAGGUCGUAAAAGAGGUGAGAAACAGGGAAACAGUAUUUUGACACAAACUUGUCCAGAGAGGAUCUCUUAUAGGAAGAACAUCUCUGGCCUAUAGCAGAAUUGAAACUAAAUUAAAAAAAUUUUUUUUUUUCUUCUUUGAGAAAGACUGGAAAAUUCUUUGCUUCCUCCAGGGAAACAAAUCUUUACUUGAGGUGGCACCUGAAAUUUCACCAUUAAUGAUAUAGUCCUUUGUGUAUUGCAGGCAACCUGGCAUCUAAGAGACCUAUAUAAAAAUGCAGAUACGUCAUAUAAGGCCAGCCAGCGAUUCUCACUGGAAUCAGAAUCCUUCAGAAGACCUUUACAUGCAGACUGCUGGCAUACACACACAUACUCCAUCCCCUGAGCCCUACUACAACCGCGACCUUUAGUCACUAGGUGGGUCUCCAGUUCUCUGAUGUGUUAGUCAUCACAGGCUGAUAUAGCAAAAUACCAUGGACUGGGUGACUUAAACAACAAACAUUUAAUUCUAUAGUUCUGAAGGGUGGAAGUCCAAGAUCCAGGUGCCAGGAGCUUCGGCUUCUGGUGAGAGCCCUUUCUGGCUUUCAAAUGACCACCUUCUUGCUGUAUCCUCAUACAACCUUUCCUUGGUGCAUGCACGGGAAGAGAGCAGCAUCUCUCAGCCUUCCUCCUCCUGUAAAGACACUUUUCCCAUCAAGAAGGUCCCAUCCUCACGACCUCAUCUACACCUAAUUACAUCCCAAAGGCCCCAUGUCCAAAUACCAUCACACUGGGGUUAGGGCUGCAACAUACGAAUUUGAGGAGGGGACACAAACCUUCAGACCAUAACAUCUGGCUUCUGACAGGACCUUGGCGUAGUUAACUUUAGAUCUUACUUUCGCAGGUUAGAAAUUGAUUUCCACUGUGGAUGAUGAUUUGAUUGCCUCAAUCAGAACUGACCCUCUAUAGUUAAGGAAGAAAUCAAUGGAAAAUUGGAAAUAGUUUUUUUUUUUUUAAUUUUGACACUUCAAAGGGGACUAUAUAGAAGAGUCAACACUGUCACUUUCCUCCCCUGAAUCCACGGCCCCCUCCAGUAUCCUAUCUCUUUCUUUUCUCCCUACGUUCUCUAUUGGUACAUUCCCUUUCUUCUCCUCCUCUUUAAGAAGGAAACAUAUUAGGAAUGUGGGUUGUGUUUGUGUUACCCUUGCUUAAUCAUUUCGUACUUUCUUUACAUAACAUGGGCUUAAUAUUUUACUUCGGGAUGUGGUUAUUUCAGUGUGUUGACCUUCUUUACUUGAUGCAUCAGUGGCUGUGAUGGGAAAAAAGGUCCUUACACCUGUCUCAUGACCUUAAGAGUGGAGGAAUCAUUCAUCAGGUGCUGAGGCCACAGGACCACUUAGAAAGUGUGAGAGGGGAGUAGGGGGUGAGCUGGGAGUUUGAAAAAACAAGACCAAGGACAAGAUUUCCCUACCUCCCAGAUUUGCAAAGAACAAGCUUCUGUUAUGCUAAAGUCAGUCCUAGUCAAUAAUCUACUGUGGGGAAGCAGCAACCAAAGAUCCCACGGGUUGCUCUGACUUGUACCUUACCUAAGAUUUCUCUUGAGUGGGUAUGUACAUGGAGCCCAGAGACACUCCAUAGGGUUGGGACAACACAACGUGCCUCUCCUACCUGUUGGCCUCCUUUUCCCCAUCUCAUUACAUAUAGGGGAAAUCAGAUUGAAAUUAACACCGAGGACCCCACAAAAGUUAAAGCAGAAACUAUAGGGUCGUGUAGGCAGAGUAUGUGGACAGAAGAAGGCGGAAAGCCAUUCCAGUUUCUCCUGGUGUUUAGGAGUACCUUGGAUGAUUAAGUUACUUUAUUUUCAAGGCUUCACUGGCCAAGCCCUCUUCUCCUCUAUGUGGGGGUGCUGCCAUGAACUAUCCAACAUGCUGCCUGUCGCACCCCUCCCAGCUCCACUCAGCAGCUCAGCCCCCUAUUCUGUGGAGAAGGUGCAGUGCAGAAUGAGAGAACUGCCUGGCCACUCAGCUGCCUAGACCAACAAGGCUCUUGUGUGCUGGUCCCAGACCAUUUCCGGAGACCAACAUAUGACAGAGCCACAACCUCCGGCCCCUCUGUCAGCUAUCUGCAGUUCCUCCUUUUUCUUUUCUUCUCCUAACCUCAUAAACAACGAUCGUUGAAGGUCCCACUAUCUACAGAUUCUGAGCCAAGAUUGGCUUUGGUUAAGAGGAAAUUCUCCGUUUUCUACAACAGUGGACAAAGGGUUUUAUUUUAUGAGUAGGAACUUUGCUUUCUCUAAUAUGGAUUAUUUAAUGUAUUUUUACUGUUCCUGCUUUUGUUCUCUAUAAUUAUAGUUCAUAGCAAAAUUGAUGUUACCCAAGAAAUAGACAAGGAACUUCUUGGUAAAGGAAGUAACCGAGGAGUUGAAAGCAGAGGCCCAAAAAGUAGUUCAGUUCUGCAUUCGAUUCCUUCCCUCAUUUGUAUGACCUCCCCGUCUAGAAAAAAAGAACAAUAGGAACAACAAAAUCAACAAAUUGUGUAACUCUGUUUCCCAACUUUCCUAAGAACAUUCAUGUUCCCUGUGCCACCCUUAUGACACACACAAUUCUUCACGGGAAACGUAAGCAAACAUAGAAAUCUGUUGUUACAAGCAGGUAGCUGUAGGCAUCUGCUGUCACCUCCCAAAGACAGGAAGAGCCCUCCUUUUUUUUGUUUUUUGUUUUUUUUGCUCAGGAAGAUUCACCCUGAGCUAACACGCAUUAUCAAUCUUCCUCUUUUUUUUGCUUGAGGAAGAUUAGCCCUGAGCUCACAUCUGUGCCAAUCCUCCUCUACUGUUUUAUAUGUGUGACACCUACACAGCAUCGUUGGUAACUGGAGUAGGUCUGUGCCCAGGAUCUGAACCCAUGAACCCAGGCUGCUGAAGCAGAGCAUGUGGAACUUUAACCAUCUGUCCACGGGGCCAGGCCCAGGAAGAGCUCUCUUUUGUCUAAAUGGCAGGUCCUAACCCUUCCCACUUUCUCCUCAGUAAGUUAAUGUCUAAAGGUGGUAUUUGGAAACAGUGGAGGAAAAGAUGGAUGAUCCAAUACAUGAUAUUGAGGCACCCAUAUAACCAUGUGGAAAAAAAUGCAUAUGAAGCAAAGAUUUAAACGUAAAAAUGAAAACAUAAAAGUACUAGGGGAGGGCUGGCCCAAUGGCGAAGCAGCUAUGUUCGCACGUUCCGCUUUGGCGGCCCGGGCUUCACUGGUUUGGAUCCUGGUUGCGGACAUGGCACCACUUGGCAAGCCAUGCUGUGGUAGGCAUCCCACAUAUAAAGCAGAGGAAGAUGGGCACAGAUGUUAGCUCAGGGCCAGCCUUCCUCAGCAAAAAGAGGAGGAUUGACAGCAGAUGUUAGCUCAGGGCUAAUCUUCCUUGAAAAAAAAAAGGUUUUUAAACGUGCUAGGGGAAAAGAAUAGGUUAAAAUUUUUAAUAGAUUUUUUAAGUAGUUUUUGGAGUGAGGAAGUACUACGUAAAACCAAGAAGUCAUAAAAGAUACAACUGUGUAAAACUGGCAGAUUCAUCUAUACAAAAAAUUCUCAUAAAUGCAUGGGAAAAAACACCAAAAACAAAGCCAAAAGACAAAUGACAAAUGGGAGAAAGUGUUUGCACACUUACCACAAAAGAAUCAUUUCCUUCAGACAAAAAGAUCUCAUAAAAUUUAAUAAGAAAAAUACCAAAAACCCAAUAGAAGAAAUAGAAACAGAUUACAAGCAGACAGUUUACAAAAAAAGAUAUGGAAAUGGCUCGAAGUCAUAUAAAAAGAUGUUCAGCCUCUCUCAAAAUAAAAGGAAAGGAAAUUGAAAUUACACUGACAUAUCGUUUUUUUCCUAUCAGACAAAGAGCAAAAAGUUUGAUAACAUACUUUCUGGGCAGGGCUAUGAGGAAACAAGCUUGCUACCCAUUGCUAAUGAGAGUAUAAAUUGGUACAAUCUCAACAGAAGAGAAUCUAACAUCAUUCAACACCAUUCGACCUUUGACUAGCAAUUCUACUUGUAGGAAUUGAUCCUACAGAUAUAUCCACACAUAUGCAAAACGAAGUAUGUUCAAGGUCAUUCACAACAGCUGUCUACGUGUAAAUGGAUUACCAAGCAGCGGUAAAAGAUGAGGCCUAGAACUACUGCAGCCAUCUUGUCAAGCAGCCAGAGCACGGAGCCGUCAAAGGAGGGAGGGCCACGCAGACAGCCAGAGCCAAAGCACCGCACCCUAUUUCUGGUUUUCCUGCACUGUAAAC